Long non-coding RNA from Serinus canaria (Common canary), 396 nucleotides. RefSeq lists it as uncharacterized. Lineage: Eukaryota; Metazoa; Chordata; Aves; Passeriformes; Fringillidae. The record is from RefSeq and is a predicted model, not a curated record. The transcript is spliced from 3 exons.
GGGAGUGUUAACUCUAGAGGAUUCCAGGUAAGAAGGAAGUGACUCUUCGGCCGUGAGCUCCUCUUCUUCUUGCUGACCUUGUUCGUCUGAACAAGGAAAAGCAUCAUGUUUUUCCAACUCUUUUAAGUUAAUAUCUCCCCGAGCAACAUCUUUCAGUAUCUCCUGACUGGAGGAUAAGGAAGAUGGUGUGGACAAUUUGAGAGCAGAGGGUGCUAAAAACAAGGAUGAUUUUAUUGGAGAUGAAGUUCGGGUAAAGAAUGACACCAAAUACAACGUUUAUAGAAAAAAUGUCUCUUCUUAUGAACAAUCACAUCUACAUGGUUUAGUACUUUGGUAAGAGCAACUCACUCAUUCCAGGCUCAGUCAGAUAGCUGUAGCGCUUACGUAAAGCAAGGG